GGGGAUAUAGCUCAGUUGGUAGAGUGCUUGCCUUAUAUGCAAGGCCCUUGGUUCAAUCUCCAGAACCACCA
This 71-nucleotide transfer RNA is filed under the name Ictidomys tridecemlineatus (thirteen-lined ground squirrel). RNAcentral's name for it is "Spermophilus tridecemlineatus (thirteen-lined ground squirrel) tRNA". It matches the Rfam family "tRNA". Rfam says of the family: Transfer RNA (tRNA) molecules are approximately 80 nucleotides in length. Their secondary structure includes four short double-helical elements and three loops (D, anti-codon, and T loops). The record is from Rfam by way of RNAcentral. Lineage: Eukaryota; Metazoa; Chordata; Mammalia; Rodentia; Sciuridae.